AGUGGAUGGGGAGCAACCUAGUUGUGCGUGUGUAAAGGUAGUGCCAAGAAAAGCGAUGAUCAUGUUGAAAAUCAAUUCCCGGUACCCGAAACCGACACAGGUGGGCAAGUAGAGAAUACUAAGGGGCGCGAGGUAACUCUCUCCAAGGAACUCGGCAAAAUGACCCCGUAACUUAGGGAGAAGGGGUGCCACCGAGAGGUGGUCGCAGUGAAGAGGCCCAGGCGACUGUUUAGCAAAAACAUAGGUCUCUGCAAACUCGAAAGAGGAGGUAUAGGGGCUGACGCCUGCCCAGUGCCGGAAGGUUAAAGAAGUUGGUCAGUUUUAGGAUGAAGCUAGCGACUGAAGCCCCGGUGAACGGUGGCCGUAACUAUAACGGUCCUAAGGUAGCGAAAUUCCUUGUCGGGUAAGUUCCGACCCGCACGAAAGGCGUAACGAUCUGGGCGCUGUCUCGGAGAGAGGCUCGGCGAAAUAGGAUUGUCUGUGAAGAUACGGACUACCUGCAUUUGGACAGAAAGACCCUAUGAAGCUUUACUAUAGCUUGGAAUUGUGUUCGGGCUUCCUGUGCGCAGGAUAGGUGGGAGGCGUAGAAGGUAUUCUUGUGGGGAUACUGGAGCCAACGGUGAGAUACCACUCUCAGGAGGCUAGAAUUCUAACUUAAUUAAGGACAGUUUCAGGUGGGUAGUUUGACUGGGGCGGUCGCCUCCAAAAAGGUAACGGAGGCGUACAAAGGUUCCCUCAGACUGGUUGGAAAUCAGUCGAAGAGUGCAAAGGCAGAAGGGAGCUUGACUGCGAGAAGUACAGUUCGAGCAGGGUGGAAACACGGUCUUAGUGAUCCGACGGUGCUGUGUGGAAGGGCCGUCGCUCAACGGAUAAAAGUUACUCUAGGAUAACAGGCUGAUCUCCCCCAAGAGUUCACAUCGACGGGGAGGUUUGGCACCUCGAUGUCGGCUCAUCGCAACCUGGGGCGGAAGUACGUCCCAAGGGUUGGGCUGUUCGCCCAUUAAAGCGGUACGUGAGCUGGGUUCAGAACGUCGUGAGACAGUUCGGUCCAUAUCCGAUGUAGGCGUGAGAAUAUUGAGAGGAGCCUUCCUUAGUACGAGAGGACCGGGAAGGACGCACCGCUGGUGUACCUGUUAUGAUGCCAAUUGUAAACGCAGGGUAGCCAAGUGCGGAGAGGAUAACCGCUGAAAGCAUCUAAGUGGGAAGCCCACCUCAAGAUGAGUAUUCUGGUGUAAGGUCACGGGAAGACGACCCGUAAAUAGGCACGAGGUGGAAGUGCAGAGAUGUAUGAAGCCGAAGUGUACUAAUAGACCGUCGGCUUGAC
This 1324-nucleotide ribosomal RNA is filed under the name metagenome. RNAcentral describes it as "bacterial LSU rRNA". It matches the Rfam family "Bacterial large subunit ribosomal RNA", at positions 1561 to 2925 of the family's 2925-position model. The record is from RNAcentral.